CCUACGGGUGGCAGCAGUGAGGAAUAUUGGUCAAUGGGCGUAAGCCUGAACCAGCCAAGUCGCGUGAGGGAUGAAGGUUCUAUGGAUCGUAAACCUCUUUUAUAAGGGAAUAAAGUGCGGGACGUGUCCCGUUUUGUAUGUACCUUAUGAAUAAGGAUCGGCUAACUCCGUGCCAGCAGCCGCGGUAAUACGGAGGAUCCGAGCGUUAUCCGGAUUUAUUGGGUUUAAAGGGUGCGUAGGCGGCCUUUUAAGUCAGCGGUGAAAGUCUGUGGCUCAACCAUAGAAUUGCCGUUGAAACUGGGAGGCUUGAGUAUGUUUGAGGCAGGCGGAAUGCGUGGUGUAGCGGUGAAAUGCUUAGAUAUCACGCAGAACCCCGAUUGCGAAGGCAGCCUGCCGGGGUGCGACUGACGCUGAGGCUCGAAGGUGCGGGUAUCAAACAGGAUUAGAUACCCUGGUAGUC
Molecule: ribosomal RNA, 460 nt
Filed under: uncultured bacterium
Lineage: Bacteria
Description: partial 16S ribosomal RNA
Rfam family: Bacterial small subunit ribosomal RNA
Source: RNAcentral